RNAcentral lists this ribosomal RNA (460 nucleotides) under uncultured bacterium. RNAcentral describes it as "partial 16S ribosomal RNA". It matches the Rfam family "Bacterial small subunit ribosomal RNA", at positions 338 to 795 of the family's 1533-position model. The record is from RNAcentral.
CCUACGGGUGGCAGCAGUGAGGAAUAUUGGUCAAUGGACGCAAGCCUGAACCAGCCAUGCCGCGUGCAGGAAGACGGCCCUAUGAGUUGUAAACUGCUUUUGUAAGAGGGUAAACGCAGACACGCGUACCUGUUUGAAAGUACCGUAUGAAUAAGGAUCGGCUAACUCCGUGCCAGCAGCCGCGGUAAUACGGAGGAUUCAAGCGUUAUCCGGAUUUAUUGGGUUUAAAGGGUGCGUAGGCGGUCGGUUAAGUUAGAGGUGAAAUCCCGAGGCUCAACUUCAGAAUUGCCUCUGAUACUGUCAGGCUAGAGAGUAGUUGCGGUAGGCGGAAUGUGUGGUGUAGCGGUGAAAUGCUUAGAGAUCAUGCAGAACACCGAUUGCGAAGGCAGCUUACCAAGCUGCUUCUGACAUUGAGGCACGAAAGCGUGGGUAGCAAACAGGAUUAGAUACCCUUGUAGUC